CAUUGCUUCUCAUCAAUAUUCCUCAUAACAAAUCCAUCCAUCCUUUGUAAAACAAGCUCAACCCUUGCUUCUCAUCAAUAUUCCUCAUUAAGAAUCCAUUCAUUCUUUGUCAAAAAAGCUUUGGUUUAUCGGCAGCUCCGUCCUCAAUAUACACGCUAAAAUGCAGGUCUCUUUCUUUACCCUUCGAUAGCUCAGUUGGUAGAGCGGAGGACUGUAGGCUGAUGUUCAAUCUGCAAUUAGCAGGUAUCCUUAGGUCGCUGGUUCAACUCCCGCUCGAAGGACAUUUUUAUAAUGUUGUCCUGUUUGGGUCAACAGGUAUUUCCUGAUCGCAAACCCUUGCUUCUUGUCAAUAUUCCUCAUGACAAAUCCAUCCAUUCUUUGUAAAACAAGCUCAACCCUUGCUUCUCAUCAAUAUUCCUCAUAACAAAUCCAUCCAUCCUUUGUAAAAAAAGCUCAACCCUUGCUUCUCAUCAAUAUUCCUCAUUAAGAAUCCAUUCAUUCUUUGUCAAAAAAGCUUUGGUUUAUCGGCAGCUCCGUCCUCAAUGUACACGCUAAAAUGCAGGUCUCUUUCUUUACCCUUCGAUAGCUCAGUUGGUAGAGCGGAGGACUGUAGGCUGAUGUUCACUGUGCAAUUAGCAGGUAUCCUUAGGUCGCUGGUUCAACUCCGGCUCGAAGGACAUUUUUAUAUUGUUGUCCGGUUUGGGUCAACAGGUAUUUCCUGAUCGCAAACCCUUGCUUCUUGUCAAUAUUCCUCAUGACAAAUCCAUCCAUUCUUUGUAAAACAAGCCCAACCCUUACUUCUCAUCAAUAUUCCUCAUAACAAAUCCAUCCAUCCUUUGUAAAACAAGCUCAACCCUUGCUUCUCAUCAAUAUUCCUCAUUAAGAAUCCAUUCAUUCUUUGUCAAAAAAGCUUUGGUUUAUCGGCAGCUCCGUCCUCAAUAUACACGCUAAUAUGCAAGUCUCUUUCUUUACCCUUCGAUAGCUCAGUUGGUAGAGCGGAGGACUGUAGGCUGAUGUUCAAUCUGCAAUUAGCAGGUAUCCUUAGGUCGCUGGUUCAACUCCGGCUCGAAGGACAUUUUUAUAAUGUUGUCCGGUUUGGGUCAACAGGUAUUUCCUGAUCGCAAACCCUUGCUUCUUGUCAAUAUUCCUCAUGACAAAUCCAUUCAUUAUUUGUAAAACAAGCUCAACCCUUGCUUCUCAUCAAUAUUCCUCAUAACAAAUCCAUCCAUCCUUUGUAAAACAAGCUCAACCCUUGCUUCUCAUCAAUAUUCCCCAUUAAGAAUCCAUUCAUUCUUUGUAAAACAAGCUCAACCCUUGCUUCUCAUAAAUAUUCCUCAUUAAGAAUCCAUUCAUUCUUUGUCAAAAAAGCUUUGGUUUAUCGGCAGCUCCGUCCUCAAUAUACACGCUAAAAUGAUGGUCUCUUUCUUUACCCUUCGAUAGCUCAGUUGGUAGAGCGGAGGACUGUAGGCUGAUGUGUUGUCAAAACCCAAAAUGUUGUCCGUUUUGGGUCACCAGGUAUUCCCUUAUCGCCAACCCUUUUUUCUAAUCAGUAUUCCUCAUAAAAAAUCCAUCCAUCCUUUGUAAAACAAGCCCAACCCUUGCUUCUCAUCAAUAAUCCUCAUAACAAAUCCAUCCAUUCUUUGUCAAACAAGCUUUGAUUUAUCGUCAGCUCCAUCCUCAAUAUACACGCUAAAAUGCAGGUCUCGUUCUUUACCCUUCGAUAGCUCAGUUGGUAGAGCAGAGGACUGUAUGCUGAUAUUCAAUGUGCAAUUAGCAGGUAUUCUUAGGUCGCUGGUUCAUCUCUGGCUUGAAGGACAUUUUUAUAAUGUUGUCCGUUUUGGGUUACUAGGUAUUUCCUGAUUGCCAACCCUUGCUAACAAAUCCAUCCAUCCUUUGUAAAACAAGCUUUGGUUUAUCGUCAGCUCCAUCCUCAAUAUACACGCUAAAAACCAGAUCACGUUCUUUACCCUUCGAUAGCUCAGUUGGUAGAGCUCAGUCCCUCUUCUCCUACUUACAAAGCUGGUAAUCACCUUGACUACAUCUUCACUAGAAACUGCUCUACUCCACAGAGUUACCUCCACAGACGUCUCUGACCACUUCUUCAUCUCUUACUCUCUCCCACUCUCUGUAACUAACGACCCUGCCCCAUCAACUGACCCUGUACCUGUUUGUCGCAACAUUCGCUCCCUCUCUCCUUCCUCUCUGGCUUCCUCUGUUCUAUCAGCUCUCCCUUUAAUUGUCUCCUUCUCACUCCUGCAUCUGAACGUUGCCACAGAGACUCUCCUCUCAACUCUUUCCUUCUCUCUCGACUCUCACUGCCCUCUUACUACACAACAGGCUUUUAAAUCCCCUCCGGCUCCGUGGCUGCCUCAACCGGUGCGUGCCGUGAGAGCCACAAUGCGAGCAUCGGAAAGGAGAUGGCGUAAAUAUACAACAACCUGCUGACCUGCUUGCAUUUCAAUCUCUCAUUUUUCUGCUUCUAUCUCUGCUGCCAAAAGCUCCACUACCAAUCUUCUACCAAUGCAGAAUUGAAUCUUCAUCUCCUUCUAUCUCCACCGACAGGUUCCAACAACCUCCUUGAUCCCCACCAGUCAGGCUUCAAGGCAGGCCAUUCCACAGAGACUGCUCUCCUUGCUGUCUCAGAAACUCCACACUGCUUGAGCAGCUUCUCUUUCUCCCCUGUCCUCAUCCUUCUGGACCUCUCUGCUGCAUUUGACACAGUCAACCACCAGAUCCUUAUUUCCUCCCUUCAGGAACUUGGUGUCUCAGGCUCUGCUCUCUCCCUUCUCUCGUCCUACCUUGACGGCCGCACCUACCGGGUAACCUGGCGAGGAUCUGUGUUGAACCGUGUCCUCAUACUACUGGAGUUCCUCAGGGUUCCGUCCUGAGUCCCCUGCACUUCUCGCUCUACUCCUACCACAGCUAUGCCGAUGACACCUAACUAAUUCUCUCCUUCCCUCACUCGGACACCCAGGUGGCGGCACGAAUCUUUGCCUUUCGGACAUCUCUCAGUGGAUGUCCGCUCACAAUCUGAAAAUCAACCCCGACAAGACUGAACUACAUCUUUUCCUGGGAAAAGACUCUCCUACCCAGGAAUUGACCAGAACUGGCAACUCCGUGUUAACGCCCACUGUGACUGCUAGAAACCUCAGAGUGACACUUGACAGUCAACUCUCCCUGAAUGGCACUUAUCUAUAGCAAAUUGGCUUAUUUGAUUUGAACUUUCUUGAUUCUUUCUCUUUUGUAAGGACCUUUGUUGUUUGUAUCCCUAUGGUUGAAAUCCCUAUGUUUAUUGUCCCUGUUGUGUUUAAUAAAUAUAUCUAAUUCACUAAUGUUUACAUCAAUUAGUGAAUCGUUGUAGUGAUUAGUUAAACAAACAAAUCAAGUACUUUUGUCUCACUAAAAUAGUAAUUACCAGUAGUGGGGUAAACAUUUCUUUAUUUGCAAACAGCACUAGAUCAUUCACGUGUCUCUUUGCCCUGUGUGCAGGAGAACAAUUCAGUGCAAUGUGCUUUAAAACGCACAGCGACAAUAGCUUUAAAUUAUGUUGGACAAUUAUAAAAUUCAUGUUCUUUCAUCUUUAAUAAGGCCCAUUCAAAUAUUUCCAUUCAGAAGUUGUAUAAUCCUUAAAUUCAUGAACAAAGCAGGAAAUAUAGAAAACUUGUAUGUACAGAAACACAAAUGAACGCAACUCCUCAAGUUCCGUUUUUAAUAAACUAGUUUUUUUAAUGUUUCUGUUUAGCAUUCCUGUUUCCUAAGUAGUUCAAGUAGUUUACACAACAGUGAUAUGAUGCCAUAUCACCCAGUUAUCUGGAAGUUUGCUUUCCAACAUGUUGGCCUGUGAUCACAUCCAAAUAUAAAUUCAUUUUUGACCACUAAACAAGCUGUUCAUUUUCUUUCAUUGUAAUAUUUGUAGAGACCAGAAUAAGUUAAAUGAUCCAGCAAUUCACAAGAAAAUGAAGAAAGAUAAGAUGGACAUGUAAAGAGAGACAAUAUUUUAAGUAGGUUGAAAAUCAUCUUCUACGUGCUGUCCUUUUCAAUCACUUUGCAAUACCUCAAAUUUAUCUUGUGACCCCAUCAGUGGAAGGAACGAAAAACAAAGGCAGACACACUCAUUUCCAUUUUGAUAAUGGUUUGCCUACUCAACUACCAUUUAAAUUAUCAGUGGUCGUCCAGUCCUUGACAGUCCAGUCCUUGACAGUUACUUUUACCAUUUAAAUGAUUAAAACGAAAAUACUGAUUUACCAUUGUAGUUUUUUUAAAACCAAAAAUGCCAAUGGCUGGCCGAUAUAGAUGAAUACAAAAGACAGACAAUACAACAAUAGAAAAAUAAAAGGUCUACACAGAUCCUCCAAAGUGAGUAUUUUAAGUAUUAAAAAUCAAUAAAUUGUGUAAAUACGUGAAUGACAUGAAUUAACACUUUGCAAAAACAGUAAAGACCCAAUGCAAUGCACCUAUUUUGGAAUGUUAUUUCACUAUUUAUUGAUAUCAUAUUUAUUUAAUAAAUUAAGUAUAUAUAUAUAUAUAGACUUUUGAAUUCUGGCAUGAAUAUUUCUAAUAGGACAUGCUCAUACAUAUCUAUAUAUGUUAUAAUGUACAGAGAGUUGCAGGAAUGAGUCCUAAGACCUGGACAUCAAUCAGCGUUUUUGUACUUUUGAUCAUAACACAAACAAAAAAGCCCUCUGGUCAGCCCUUCCGAAACAACUUCACACAGCAGAGUUUCACCAUCAGUGACUGCUGUAAGAAGGCGACACUUUGCUACUAUAAUAUAUCAGCUGCAGCAAAGGUUUUUGGGUGAGUUCAGGAAACUUAUCCCUCCUUCCAUCACUUCAUGUAGCGUUAAGGAGGAACUUUGAGAAACAUUGCAUUACAUUAUAGUGAGAUAAACAAUGUCAUAAUGUGCUGAAAAGCCUUUAGUGUACAAAGCAACGGGACUAUAUGAGUAGUGUUUUCCCUAACCCUAAAACAAUAUAUCUGGGAACUGAAUUCAGUAAAUGCAAUGUGUGCCUACGUAAACAGGUUAUUGCGCCUAU
Long non-coding RNA from Gasterosteus aculeatus aculeatus (three-spined stickleback), 5033 nucleotides. The record is from Ensembl. Lineage: Eukaryota; Metazoa; Chordata; Actinopteri; Perciformes; Gasterosteidae.